AACAUCCAAGGGGUGCUUACUUGAACGAUCCGUUGUCGUUAUGCUCUAUGACAUAUUUAUUUGAGAAUAUUACGUAUUGAUUUGGUGGUGGUUGUAAUAUUAGAUAUAUAAUUCGUCUGCAGUGGUUUAUAGUCGAGUUAUUUAUCUGUAAUUGUUAUGCUAAAUAUAUGUUCUGUCCAGGAGAACAAGUCCAAAGAGAAAUGUCCGUUUGAAAAUUAUUCACUAUAUAUUUGUAUAUGAAAUUGGUUUAAUGGAAUUCAAGUGGUAGCUUUUAUAUUUAGAGUUAAUAUAUAGUGAAUAUUAACUGAACCCGUAGUCCCCACUAAGCUUCAUCCCUCACGAUUGUGACCUAUUAAUAAAAACAUCCAAUUAAUUACUCUGUUUUUAUUACUCAUUUCUAAACCAUUUUGAUAAGUACUAAAACUUCUCUCUCCAUCACAUCUUACUCUUUCGUUAUUCGCAACAAAUUGACAAAAUGAGUACAUCAUCGAAAUGUCUACACUCUAUCACACAAUCUAGCGACACACAGGUUAAAUUUUUCAAUUUUUUAAACAAUAUAGUUUACAUUCAUUCCACAAAGUAUAUGUAACUUCUAUAAACUUUCGUCUUCGUUGUCAACAGAGGAAGAUUGCAAGAUUAUACAUUCCGGAACCAAUUCUCGCACUAAUUGUUAGCCACGUUUCAGAAGAAGGAAUUGAGGCUCUGAAAAACUGGAUUAAAUCUGGUCAUGAAGGGAAAUCUGCAGCUUUCUCUGUCGAGACACUAUCCCGAGUUCGUUUAGAUAAAAGCCCUGACUUCAUCAACAUGUCUUCACCCGACUCUGUUCACUUCUCAUUCUACUCCAAAUGUCUUGCAAAAAGAAACCCUUACGCUAUGUAUCUCCAGAGCUUGAGGCUAGGGUUCUGUUCUCUCCACAUGAAAGGCGCCAUUUCAUUACUGAAUGAUUGUAAAGAUGUCAUUCCUAUAGCCAAGCUUCUUUACAUUGCGCUAAACCGCUGCGCAGGUAAUGAAGUAUUAGACGCGUUUAAUACUUUCAAACGAGAGAACAAGUGUUUUACAGAUGUAGAUAUCAUGGCCAAGACACUAAUUGACCACAUUUCUGAUUUGGAACCAAAACGAUUCGGAUCUUACGCUGAGCUCUUUUAUUAUGAGGAUUAUCCAGACUGUUGGGUCAUCCAUGAAUUUUACAACGAAUAUAAUGGUGAGAGAUGUUCACAUUGCGUCUACUUCUUCCUCUUCAGAGACAUCCUUUUGCUUUCCUAGUUUAUUUAAAAACAUGAGUUACCCACUUUCAGAAUAUAACUAUCUCUUCUGUUUCCCUCUUUUAUCUAGUUUAUUAAUGUAAUCUUAUUAUGAAGUUGUAUUUCUCUCUUGUAUUUAACGUUUAAACUAGUGAACAUCUUUCUCGUUUAUCAUAACUUAUAGGGACUCUUUCGAUUUUGGAGCAUGCAUAGCAAAAUUUUCCGACUAUACUAAUUUCAAAAAUACUUAAGAUUGGUUAUAUCUGAUUGGUCUGGGGCUUUUGGAUAGACAUAUAAAUAUUCAUUUCCUAUCUACAUGUAAAUAUUCAGAGACAUCCAUUUCAUUACCAAGUUGUAAAAAGUUUUUUAAUAUUAAAAACUAAGCUAUAUAAUAUGAAAUCACAUGUAUUAGUCGAUAUUCUCUAUUCUAUAUUAUCCGAUUCAGUAAAUGUCCACAUUUUUUAUUCAGAAUCAACAAACUUCUAACCUUACAUGCACUUUGUAAAUCUGACAUGAUCUGAAAAAUAAUUUGCUCACAAUUACUAAUUUUUCAACAUAUAACUGAUUGGGGAAUCUUACAAUAUUGAAUCAUGUAAAUCGAACUAAUCUUACAAAU
Molecule: small RNA, 1857 nt
Filed under: Arabidopsis thaliana (thale cress)
Lineage: Eukaryota; Viridiplantae; Streptophyta; Magnoliopsida; Brassicales; Brassicaceae
Description: ATSL027980
Source: RNAcentral